RNAcentral lists this ribosomal RNA (393 nucleotides) under uncultured Spumella. RNAcentral describes it as "partial small subunit ribosomal RNA". It matches the Rfam family "Eukaryotic small subunit ribosomal RNA", at positions 30 to 432 of the family's 1831-position model. The record is from RNAcentral. Lineage: Eukaryota; Synurophyceae; Ochromonadales; Ochromonadaceae.
GCUUGUCUCAAAGAUUAAGCCAUGCAUGUCUCAGUAUAAGCUUUCACACGGCGAAACUGCGAAUGGCUCAUUAAAACAGUUAUCGUUUCUUUGGUGGUUAUUGAUUCCAUGGAUAGCCGUGGUAAUUCUAGAGCUAAUACAUGCGUCAAAACCCAACUUCUGGGAGGGUUGUAUUUAUUAGAUGGAAACCAAUGCGGGGCAACCCGGUAUAUGGUGAUUCAUAAUAACUUUCGGAUCGAUCUUCGGAUCGAUGCAUCAUUCAAGUUUCUGCCCUAUCAGCUUUGGAUGGUAGGGUAUUGGCCUACCAUGGCUUUAACGGGUAACGGAGAAUUAGGGUUCGAUUCCGGAGAGGGAGCCUGAGAAAUGGCUACCACAUCCAAGGAAGGCAGCAGG